RNAcentral lists this ribosomal RNA (465 nucleotides) under Vreelandella stevensii. RNAcentral describes it as "partial 16S ribosomal RNA". It matches the Rfam family "Bacterial small subunit ribosomal RNA", at positions 338 to 795 of the family's 1533-position model. Lineage: Bacteria; Pseudomonadati; Pseudomonadota; Gammaproteobacteria; Oceanospirillales; Halomonadaceae. The record is from RNAcentral.
CCUACGGGCGGCAGCAGUGGGGAAUAUUGGACAAUGGGGGCAACCCUGAUCCAGCCAUGCCGCGUGUGUGAAGAAGGCCCUCGGGUUGUAAAGCACUUUCAGUGAGGAAGAACGCCUGGUGGUUAAUACCCAUCAGGAAAGACAUCACUCACAGAAGAAGCACCGGCUAACUCCGUGCCAGCAGCCGCGGUAAUACGGAGGGUGCGAGCGUUAAUCGGAAUUACUGGGCGUAAAGCGCGCGUAGGUGGCUUGAUAAGCCGGUUGUGAAAGCCCCGGGCUCAACCUGGGAACGGCAUCCGGAACUGUCAAGCUAGAGUGCAGGAGAGGAAGGUAGAAUUCCCGGUGUAGCAGUGAAAUGCGUAGAGUUCGGGAGGAAUGCCAGUGGCGAAGGCGACCUUCUGGACUGACACUGACACUGUGGUGCGAAAGCGUGGGUAGCAAACAGGAUUAGAUACCCUGGUAGUC